GAUUCUGUAGCUCAGUUGGUUAGAGCACUGCACCACAAUCGCAGGGCCGCAGGUUCGAUUCCUUCCAGAUUCA
This 73-nucleotide transfer RNA is filed under the name Paramuricea clavata. It matches the Rfam family "tRNA". Rfam says of the family: Transfer RNA (tRNA) molecules are approximately 80 nucleotides in length. Their secondary structure includes four short double-helical elements and three loops (D, anti-codon, and T loops). Further hydrogen bonds mediate the characteristic L-shaped molecular structure. tRNAs have two regions of fundamental functional importance: the anti-codon, which is responsible for specific mRNA codon recognition, and the 3' end, to which the tRNAs corresponding amino acid is attached (by aminoacyl-tRNA synthetases). tRNAs cope with the degeneracy of the genetic code in two manners: having more than one tRNA (with a specific anti-codon) for a particular amino acid; and 'wobble' base-pairing, i.e. permitting non-standard base-pairing at the 3rd anti-codon position. The record is from Rfam by way of RNAcentral. Lineage: Eukaryota; Metazoa; Cnidaria; Anthozoa; Malacalcyonacea; Plexauridae.